ACGCACGCUGGCGGCGUGCUUCACCCAUGCCAGGCGAACGGAAAGGCCCUGCUUUUGUGGGGUGCGCGAGUGGCGAACGGGUGAGGAACACGUGAGUAACCUGCCCUUGACUUUGGGAUAACUUCAUGAAACUGGGGCUAAUACCGGAUAGGAGCUCCUGCUGCAUGGUGGGGGUUGGAAAGUUUCGGCGGUUGGGGAUGGACUUGCGGCUUUUCAGGUUGUUGGGGGGGUAGUGGCUUACCAAGGCUUUGACGGGUAGCCGGCCUGGGGGGGUGACCGGCCCCAUUGGGACUGGGGUCCGGCCCAGACUCCUACGGGGGGCAGCAGUGGGGAAUUUUGCAAAAUGGGCGGAAGCCUGAUGCAGCAACGCCGGGUGCGGGAUGACGGCCUUCGGGUUGUAAACCGCUUUCGCCUGGGACAAAGCGGGAGUGACGGUAACGGGUAAAGAAGCACCGGCUAACUACGUG
RNAcentral lists this ribosomal RNA (467 nucleotides) under uncultured bacterium. RNAcentral describes it as "partial 16S ribosomal RNA". It matches the Rfam family "Bacterial small subunit ribosomal RNA", at positions 29 to 507 of the family's 1533-position model. The record is from RNAcentral.